GAAAAAAGUAAAAUAGCAAAAAGUGCAGUUGAUGUGACAAUUAAUCAUCUGCUUAAUUAUUCUGAUUUUUAAAGGUGCGCCGCAUCCCCAUGUAUGCACAGAACAUGCUGUUACAGCUUUAUAAAAGAGAGCGUGCACAGAGUUACUUUACAUUUUCUGAGGUUUGCAUUCAUCAGAAACAUCCAAUAUGCAUGUUCUUAAAGUCGCAGUGCUCCUUGUAGCAGUUCUUGCUGCAGUGUUCGGAACAAGCAUGGCCAAGGGUCAUGGUGGUGGUCACGGUCAUGGAGGUGGAAAGGGUCAUGGUGGUGGCCAUGGGGGUAAAGGACAUGGAGGACAUGGUGGCGGACACGGGGGCAAGGGCCACGGAGGCCAUGGCGGUGGACAUGGGGGCAAAGGGCAUGGAGGCGGCCAUGGAGGAAAGGGGCACCAUGGAUAAACCAUGUAGAUGAAAGGCGUGUGACAAUGCAGCUUCUACAUGUCAUUCCACUGCUGCUGGACAACGGGGAAACAACUCAGAGAAAACAUGAUGAUAUUGUAUUUUGUUUGAUAAGACCUCCGAAUAAAAAUACACCCCGAGGUGUUGAAUCUAACAAGA
Molecule: long non-coding RNA, 595 nt
Filed under: Haliotis rubra (blacklip abalone)
Lineage: Eukaryota; Metazoa; Mollusca; Gastropoda; Lepetellida; Haliotidae
Description: uncharacterized LOC124263040
Source: RNAcentral